Antechinus flavipes (yellow-footed antechinus) is the source of this 2673-nucleotide long non-coding RNA. RefSeq lists it as uncharacterized. The record is from RefSeq and is a predicted model, not a curated record. NCBI's taxonomy places the organism in Eukaryota, Metazoa, Chordata, Mammalia, Dasyuromorphia, Dasyuridae. The transcript has 4 exons.
CUAAAGGCAUGGAAAUGAGGGGCAGAGAUCCCCAGUGAAGAUCAGAGGCAGAGAUCAUCAAUGAAGAUCAAGGGUGGAAGCCCUGCCAUGGAAAUGAGAGUCAGAGAUCCCUAAUGAAGAUCAGAGGUAGACCCCCCAUGGAAAUGGGACGCAGAGAUCCCGAAUGAAGAUAAGAGGCAGACCCAACAUGGAAAUGAGAGGCAGAGAUCCCCAAUGACGAUCAAGGGUGGAACCCAAGCCAUGGAAAUGAGUGGCAGAAAUCCUGAAUGAAGAUAAGAGGCAGACCCCCUAAGGAAAUGAGAAGCAGAGAUCCUCAAUCAAGAUCAGAGGCAGAGAUCCCCAAUGACCAUCAAUGGUGGAAGCCCUGACAUGGAAAUGAGAGGCAGAAAUAGCAAAUGAAGAUAAGAGGGAGACCCCCUAAGGAAAUGAGAAGCAGAGAUCCCCAAUGAACAUCCCAGGUUAGACCCCCAUGGAAAUGAGAGGCAGAGAUCCCCAAUGAAGAUCAAGGGUGGAAGCCCUGCCAUGAGAGACAGCAAAUGAAGAUAAGAGGCAGACACCGUAAGGAAAUGAGAGGCAGAGAUCCCCAAUGAAGAUCAAGGGUGGAAGCCCUGCCAUGAGAGACAGCAAAUGAAGAUAAGAGGCAGACACCGUAAGGAAAUGAGAGGUAGAGAUUCCCAAUGAAGAUCAGAUGAAGAACGUCCAUGGAAAUGAGAGGGAGAGAUCCCCAAUGAAGAUCUGAGGCAAACCCAACAUGGAAAUGAGAGGCAGAGAUCCCCAAUGAAUAUUAGAGGCAGAGAGAUCCCCAAUGAAGAUCAAGAAUGGAACCAAAGCCAUGGAAAUGAGAGGCAGAGAUCCCCAAUGAAUAUUAGAGGCAGAGAGAUCCCCAAUGAAGAUCAAGAGUGGAACCAAAGCCAUGGAAAUGAUAGGCAGAGAUCCCCAAUGAAGAUCAAGGGUGGAAGCCCUGCCAUGAAAGACAGCAAAUGAAGAUAAGAGGCAGACACCGUAAGGAAAUGAGAGGUAGAGAUUCCCAAGGAAGAUCACAGGUAGACCACCCAUGGAAAUGAGAGGCAGAGAUGGCGAUGAAGAUGAGAAAUAGAGAUUCCCAAUGAAGAUCAGACGAAGAACGCCCAUGGAAAUGAGUGGCAGAGACAGACCCCCUAAGGAAAUGAGAAGCAGAGAUACCCAAUGACGAUCACGGGCAGAGAUCCCCAAUGAAGACCAUGGGUGGAACCAAAGUCAGGGAAAUGAGAAGCAGAGAUCCCUAAAGAAGAAUAGAGGCAGAGAGGUCCCUAAUAAAAAUGAUAGGUAGUCCCCCAAUGGAAAUGAGAGGUAGGGAUCCCCAAUGACGAUCAGAGGCAGAGAUCAUCAAUGAAGAUCAAGGGUGGAAGCCCUGCCAUGGAAAUGAGAGUCAGAGAUCCCUAAUGAAGAUCAGAGGUAGACCCCCCCAUGGAAAGGAGAGGCAGAGAGGGCGAUGAAGAUGAGAAAUAGAGAUUCCCAAUGAAGAUCAGACAAAGGACGCCCAUGAAAAUGAGAGGCAGAGAUCCCCAAUGAAGAUCAGAGGCAGAGAUCCCCAAUGAAGAUCAAGGGUGGAAGCCCUGCCAUGAGAGACAGCAAAUGAAGAUAAGAGGCAGACAUCGUAAGGAAAUGAGAGGUAGAGAUUCCCAAUGAAGAUCACAGGUAGACCACCCAUGGAAAUGAGAGGCAGAGAUGGCGAUGAAGAUGAGAAGUAGAGAUUCCCAAUGAAGAUCAGAUGAAGAACGUCCAUGGAAAUGAGAGGGAGAGAUCCCCAAUGAAGAUCUGAGGCAAACCCAACAUGGAAAUGAGAGGCAGAGAUCCCCAAUGAAUAUUAGAGGCAGAGAGAUCCCCAAUGAAGAUCAAGAAUGGAACCAAAGCCAUGGAAAUGAGAGGCAGAGAUCCCCAAUGAAUAUUAGAGGCAGAGAGAUCCCCAAUGAAGAUCAAGAGUGGAACCAAAGCCAUGGAAAUGAUAGGCAGAGAUCCCCAAUGAAGAUCAAGGGUGGAAGCCCUGCCAUGAAAGACAGCAAAUGAAGAUAAGAGGCAGACACCGUAAGGAAAUGAGAGGUAGAGAUUCCCAAGGAAGAUCACAGGUAGACCACCCAUGGAAAUGAGAGGCAGAGAUGGCGAUGAAGAUGAGAAGUAGAGAUUCCCAAUGAAGAUCAGAUGAAGAACGUCCAUGGAAAUGAGAGGGAGAGAUCCCCAAUGAAGAUCUGAGGCAGACCCAACAUGGAAAUGAGAGGCAGAGAUCCCCAAUGAAUAUUAGAGGCAGAGAGAUCCCCAGUGAAGAUCAAGAGUGGAACCCAAGCCAUGGAAAUGAUAGGCAGAGAUCCCCAAUGAAGUUCACAGGUAGACCACCCAUGGAAAUGAGCGGCAGAGAUCCCUAAUGAAGAAUAGAGGCAGAGAGGUCCCCAGUAAAAAUCAUAGGCACACCCCCAAUGGAAAUGAGGGGCAGAGAUCCCCAAUGAAGAUCAGAGGCAGAGAUCAUCAAUGAAGAUCAAGGGUGGAAGCCCUGCCAUGGAAAUGAGACUCAGAGAUCCCUAAUGAAGAUCAGAGGUAGACCCCCCAUGGAGAGGAGAGGCAGAGAUCCCCAAUGACGAUCAGAGGCAGAGAUCCCCAAUGAAGAUCAAGGGUGGAAGCCCUGCCAUGGAAAUGAGAGGC